This is a non-coding RNA of Pelobates cultripes (western spadefoot toad), 242 nucleotides long. NCBI's taxonomy places the organism in Eukaryota, Metazoa, Chordata, Amphibia, Anura, Pelobatidae. The record is from the annotation of a GenBank genome assembly.
CCUUUCUGAUUCUCGCUGACCCUUCCUGCUCCUUGCUGCCCUUUCUGCUCCUUCUUCUACUUUACCUUUGUGCUCCUUCUGAUUCUUUCUGCUCAUUUACCUCUAUGCUUCUUCUGUCCCUCCUUCCUGCUCCUUCCUGUUCCUUGAUGGCCCAUUCUGCUCCAUGCUGACCCUUUCUGAUCCUUGCUGCCCCUUCCUGUUCCUUUCUGCUACUUCUCCUAUUUAACCUUUGUGCUCCUUCU